Lutra lutra (Eurasian river otter) is the source of this 3362-nucleotide long non-coding RNA. RefSeq lists it as uncharacterized. The record is from RefSeq and is a predicted model, not a curated record. The transcript is spliced from 3 exons. Lineage: Eukaryota; Metazoa; Chordata; Mammalia; Carnivora; Mustelidae.
GUAAAUGAUUUAAUGACCAAAAGAACAUGCACAUUAGUUAUUGAAAAUGGUAUGGGGUGCCUGGGUGGCUCAGCGUCUGACUCUUGAUCUCAGCUAAGGUCUUCAUCUCAGGGUCGUGAGUUCACAAUGACUGUAAAUUGAGAGACCAAACCUUCAGGAUAGAAAGCAAAGGUGAUAUUCUAAAAUACAAGUACUGCUUGAUUACUACAGUGUUUACAAAUCAAAUUCUCCCUAUCCAGCGUAGAAGAUGCUGACCCAGCCCCAAAAUAUAAAGUUCUGUGAACUAGGUAUUUUGUUUUUUUUCUUUCGAAGAAAACAGUAGGAGAGUGUCCUGGAAUGUCCAUGGUUUUGGGGGGGUGGUGGUGGUGGUGGCUGUUUUAAUAAAGAUGUGACCUGGCAUUUUCCAUCUGUGAAGAGGUGAAGCCAGGUAGGACAAAGGAGACCUCAGGUGAGCUGAACCAAGCCUUUCGUUACAUAGUUGAGGCACUUAGAGUCCAGAGUUCUCAUGACAUGUAAUGUCAGCUCGAGUGAAAAAUCCAGACCUUUUUUUCCCCCUUGCACAAUGCAUUCCUGAUGACACCAUGCUCAUUCUGAAAAAGCUUGCAUUUUAAAAAGUGAACAUUCUGUUCCUUCCAACUUUCAUUCUUAAAUACCUCAUCCCACUUAUAGAAGUAGCACUUUGAUUUUAAAAGUUAAAAUUGUGAAAGCAUACUGCAGUGUCAGAGGCCCCGGAUGCAUAGGAUAUUAACGUUGGCCAUCUUCUGAAGCCUCAAACUGGAAACACUGAAAUCCUUAAGUUCACCCUUAGUUCCAAUUUGGCUCUUCAGUGGCAUUGCUGCCUCCAAGAAGCCAUGUGAUCUUGGGUAAGUAAUUUGCCUUCUUCAGAUUCCUCCUCUGUGUAGUGAAUAACAGAUAUUUUUUUGAGAAUUAAAAGUUAAUAUAUGUAAAGUGACUACAAUACCGCAUGGCACUAAAUUAGCUAAGACUUACUUCAUUUACUGUCUGCUGUUAGCCUGUCCACCUGGUUUCCUUCCAGCACGUGAAUGGAGUCAACUUUCCCAUAACUAUAAAGUUUAUCUCCUACAGUAAAAAGCAAAUAUUUAAAAUUUUGGUGAGUCUCUAAUACCAAGACACAGUAAACAUCAAGGAUAGAAAGAUAACCAAAAGUUAAUAUUAAUUGGAAACCAAAAGACUUCUUGCCAUUUUGAAACACAUCCCCAAGCCUCGUCAACAGAUGAAGUCUGUAGCAGAACACAUUCCCUGGAAGACAUUCAGUUACUUCUGUGAACAGAGCUGUGCAUUCUAGAAUGUAUGGCCCUGACAUCAGGUCUGGAGCAGGCAGUGUGGUCUGCUCUUGUUUUUGCCGUACACGCAGCACACACUGCCAUACAGCUGGUGGCCUACUGAAAGAACACACCGUACGAACCACAUCCGCUCAACCAGACUAUUUGGUCAUCUAAUGGAUGGAGAAAAAGUCCUUCUAGAUUAUUCAUUGUUUAAUCCCAAUAAAAAUAAAUGACCAGGGGCGCCUUGGUGGCUCAGUCAGUUAAGAGUCUGCCUUUGGCUCCUGGGAUGGAGUCCCGCAUGGAGCUCCCUGCUCAGUGUGGAGUCUGCUUCUCCCUCUCCCUCCCCCACCUGACCAACUCAUGCUGUUGGUCUCAGAUAAAAUAGUAAAAAAACCAAAACCGUCCAGUAGCAUGUUUAAUAAGGAGAGAGUAUUGUGGCCUAAACACAGGUUUAUUUUCUUGUUAAAAAGACCUGAUGUAGUCUGAAACCAUUGCUGAUAAAAAGCAUCACAAAGUCAUUAGGGAUCCAGACUCCAGCCAGCCCGAAGCCCUCGCCCAUGAAUACUCUCCUCAGCAUGUUACGAGGUGAUGGCUUGAGAUGUGGACACAGGAAAGAAAGGAAGGAAGGAAUAAAGGAAAACGGACAUUCUUAAGGUUUCCUGUAAGUUUCAUGUGAUACUUGCAUCCACAUCUUACUGGCUGUGUAGUGACAUUGCCACAAUUUGGGCAAAGAAGGCUGAGAAAUUGUCAUAUUUGCAUACAGUGCCACACCUCACGAAACUGGGUUUUGGCCAAGGAAGAAGAGAAGACUGGAUUUGUAGUAGAUUAGCUAUCUACCAUAAGAUAUUAUGGCCAUCUAUUGGAGGGAAAAAAGCUGUCCUUGGACUACUGUUGAAUGGAACAAAACAAAAACCCAAUCCCAUGUUUCAUGACCUGAGCCGAAGUCAGACACUUAAUGUCUGAGCCACCCAGGUGCCUCAAAACCCGUGCUUUUAUAUUUAUCGUAACCCGCUUUAAAACCAAGCAAUCUAGGUAAAUGUGUGCAUAUGUAAUAACUGAUAAUCUUCGGGUCCUAGAAUUGCAAAUGAGUUUUUUAAAGAUUUCAGAGAGAGAAUGUGGUGGAGGGGAGGGGGAGGCUUAAGCAGACUCCACGUUUGGGUGUGGAGCCUGACAUAGGGCUCAGUCUCACAACCCUGAGAUUGUGACCCGAGCCACAUCUAGGAGUCAGACACUUUGUCGACUGUGCCACCCAGGCUCCCUGUAAAUGGGUUUUCUUUAAAUUUUAUUUGCAUUUUCUAAAGUUGCUAGGCUGAAAAAAAAAUCUUUAUGCUUAAAUGUUUUUUCCAAAUUAAAAGGUGGAAAGUCUUCCACCUGAUUACUCUUCUAGGAGAUACUGUUACUAGUUCUCUUACGUCCUUGGAGAUACUCUGGGCAUGCUCAAAUGAACUGGGGUGUUGUUUUGUUUUUAGAUGUAAUGAUGUAGCUUGGAGAUAAUGUCAUGCUACUGCUUAGUAGGAAAAAGAAGCUUCUGAUCCCAUCUCCUGACAGCAGAUGGGAUCAAUCAGUUAUAUGUUAAAAGUCCCAUGUAUUAAAAUUGGCACAUGAAUUUCUUGGUAGUUCCUGGGUAUUUCCAGUCUCUCCCUCACCCUGGUUCCAUUUCCAUGGGCCCAGACAUGCUUACAUCUUCUCUAGCAAUCCACUCCUUGCCUUACUUCUGUCAGCCCAGCAUUGUAGAGUGGAAACAGGUAUGGGUUUUGGAGUCAGGUUCAGUUCCUAGUUUUCUGCCAUCUGUAGCAUCUUGGGCAGGACACUCAACAGUCUGGGCCUCAGUUUUUAUAUUUUUAAAUUGUGAAAAUGUUAAAAAAUCUACUUCUUAGGUUUAGAUGCAGUUUUAAUAAGGUCAACAAAAUACCAGACACAAUAGGGACUCUGUAGGUGCUAUCAUUUCUCCUCAAAUCACCGUACCCGAGAUUCAUUUACUAUUGUAACUGUGGUGACUUCCAUUUUGUCACUUGGUUCAUUUCACAACCUUUUCUGUUCUCAAGGAAACCAGUAAAAUUUUGCUAAUGUUACUAA